ACCCGCUGAACUUAAGCAUAUC
Molecule: ribosomal RNA, 22 nt
Filed under: Fomitiporia apiahyna
Lineage: Eukaryota; Fungi; Basidiomycota; Agaricomycetes; Hymenochaetales; Hymenochaetaceae
Also listed under: 6 other names
Description: partial 28S ribosomal RNA
Source: RNAcentral